AAAAAAAAAAAAAAAAGCAAACUAAAUCCGAGUAUGAUUUAUAACUAUACGAUCUCUUUAAAAAAUUAAGUGUAAGUUUUUUAAAAAAUAAUUGAUAAUCAAGAAAAAAAAUCAUAUAAGCAAAGAAAAAUACCCUACCAGUCAUAAACGCAUCGGGUAAACCAAGCAAACAAGACCAUAUCUUUAUUCUUUUGCCGCGGAAAAAAUGGAGGGAAAAAAAAAGA
Molecule: unclassified non-coding RNA, 224 nt
Filed under: Hevea brasiliensis (rubber tree)
Lineage: Eukaryota; Viridiplantae; Streptophyta; Magnoliopsida; Malpighiales; Euphorbiaceae
Source: RNAcentral